Molecule: non-coding RNA, 23 nt
Filed under: Cricetulus griseus (Chinese hamster)
Lineage: Eukaryota; Metazoa; Chordata; Mammalia; Rodentia; Cricetidae
Source: RNAcentral
CUGCAUUCCAGAGUACUGUAGAC